CCAGGUCUAUUCUAUGUGUGAUCUUUCCUUUUCUGCAGACUCAUUUUGCAAGGAGGAACCCCAAGAAAUUCACCAGGCUUAAUAGCACUCAGAACCUGUGGAAGAAACCAAGAUUCUUCAGCUUAAUUGGGAGCAUGGAGAAUACAACUUGACUGCUGAGUUUGAGUAUUACCAUGGAUGAUGAGAGUAUACUCCUAGAUCUACUCUCCGUUACCCGCAGACUCAGGUAGAUGCCUACUCAAACUUUGGUUCAGAUGUGGAGACUCAGAUGUGGAGACUGACAAUGGCCCCUGCGCACACAAAGAGGAGCAGAAAAAUGGCCUCAGCCUUUUAAUGGAUUUUACAUGCAGAGAAGAGAAAGAAAAUGAUUUCGCAAGACUCUCUCCUCCGUUGACUUGCAACACAAAGAAACAUCCACCUCAGCCCAAGCAUCUUAAGAGCUAAAAUUGGCUGCUUCAUCAAAUGGAGGAGAG
Callorhinus ursinus (northern fur seal) is the source of this 473-nucleotide non-coding RNA. The record is from RefSeq and is a predicted model, not a curated record. Lineage: Eukaryota; Metazoa; Chordata; Mammalia; Carnivora; Otariidae.